CACUUUGCUUUCCAGGGAGCUAGUUAGCCAUCUUUUCAUGCUUUCUCCUCUUUUUUUUUAUUCUUAUGUAUGUACAAUACUUUUCAAGACAAAUCUUUUUUUUCCAGACAGUACAUGUGUUUGUAACCAUUGUAUAAAAAGAAAAGAGAAGCGUAACAAUCCCUUAAAGUUCGUCCUUUGCUGCGAUCACGUUAAACAACCCCCCUGCCGGCGAUGCUAACGGUACUGAGCGCCCGCCCGGUGGUUUUUCGCAGUCGCAGCAAACGUUGCGCUUCAGGAUAUUGUUCCUAUAUAAUGACAUUUAAGUAGAAGCUUUAGUAAUAGAAGUUCCUAACAAAGAUGUGAUGGAUAAUUAUUUUUAAGCUGUCAUGAAAUUGAAACAGGACGGGGUUGAGUCCCCAAAAAAAUACUUAUUUUCUCCAGACCUGUUUUAACACAGUCGUUCCCGUGGAGGAUUUAUUUUUUUGGGGGAUUCAACCCUCCUCUCCCUCCUCCUCUGGUUCCCCACGAUGAAGACUUCACUCCACUGGCUACACACACACACAGUUUUCUGUUGACUACUGUUGCUCAGUCAGACACUGUCUCGCUCAGCGAUAACAGACCUCUGUUCACUUAACAAGAGAAAAAGGAAAACGCAAGACAAACUCAUUUCACAUUCACAGAAAACGUUACACACAAUCCUCCGGGGGAAGUCGGGGAGAAAAGGAUAAAACCCGCUGAGACGUCGCCUCUUAAUCAUCAAUUUUUCAGAUUCACGUACGAUCUGGCACGUUUUUUUUUACGCGUACGUCAAAGUUAAUGUAGCUCGACUACAUCUGGUUUGUUAUCGUACGCCCUCGCUACACGGGACGCGCUCUAUCAGGGAACGUCCAGCGAUUUCUCCUCUUGUCAAAUCAGCCCCGUUGUGCGUUUCUCCUCCAGAACAACGUCCGGACCUUCCCCGAUGGAGCGAGUCCCGUGUUAAUCCUCGUUCCUUUUUUUUUAUUUUAAAUCUUCCUUCUGUCACGAGACAAACCUCUGGAAGUGGAAUCUGUGGAGAGGGUUUUGCACACAACGCAAAAGGACCUCGCGUUCGGAUAUGAGUUCGACACGUUUCACACAACUACCUAAUUCAUCGCUCACGUUAGGUCAACGCCGCCUGAUGCUCCCGUCGGUGGAACAGGCCUUUUCCUGUGUACUGCGUUUUACAGCUGAGAUACUUCACCAUAUGCAACGUUACCCCGGAUAUAAAGAGGGAUAGUAUGCAAGGUCAACAUUCCACCCACCAGUCCAGUUUUGUAAAGAUGUGAGAAACCACUUUGUGUCCAGCUGGAACGCCCCCCCCCCCCAAACAGUCAACAUCUUCACUCUCAAUAAUCUAAAUUAAGACUGGACUCGAGCGGAUGCCUCAAAACAAACGACUGAGACGGCUUUUUAUUUCUUCUAUUUUUCUAUGUGUAUAUUUAUUAUAAAAGCAUGUGGAUAAAUCAUCAGUAGGCGUUUAACGAGCACCUUUCUAUUACCUCAUGACCUUUUCGUUUUGACCAAGUUUUCACACUGUGAGCAGCUUGUUGUUAGUGGUCGCUUUGGUUUUCAUCCACCUCAUCAGUGUUGAUUUGUGUCUUUACCUUCAUUACCUGCUCGUGCGGACUUUUCAUUUAGCGUCGCCGGCUUCCGAGCACUUCUUGUGUUAGAAAAAACUUUCAAAUCUUGGUCCUGUUUCUUUGAUAAAUGACAAACUAAUGAUCGACGACACAAUCGUUGGCAACUUUCGUCCCCAAAGAGACUUUUUCAAACCCGUUACUUUCCUUUAACCUCCACUGCAACCAUCGAGAUUUCUGUAAAACUCAGCGUUUUCUCAGUUUAAAAAAAACGUCCGUCUACCUCUGAUACAAGACCUCACUACUACUUCAGUUCUCAGACACGGUUUCCAUUCCACUUUCACUUUCUGUUAUUUCAAGAACCCGGGUUAAGGGAAAGUAAUCGGACGAAUAAAAUCCCUGUGUUGUCCGAACUGUAAGGCCUUCGUUGGGUCUAGCGCUUAAAUUCGUCCCCACGUUGCACUUGAGACAGAAGCACUUGAGUCAGGGGAACGAGGAGGCACAGAAGGGAUCUGAUGCCCGUGUCGGAUGGGUCGUGACCAGACGUCCUUCCUGCAGAGGGAUCUGGUUUCUCACAGUGUGAACGCAGGCGUCAGACGCUCCUGUGCCACUGUUUGGUCGAUGUCAAACUACUCAAAACGCUGCACAAAGUGGGAAGAAUGUAUUUUAGGAAGGUUCCUGUCCGUGUCCGCCUCCUCUCGUCUGCUCUGAUGCUUUCACACAUACAGUAUUGUGACCCCCCCACCUCCCCCCCCACUUCUCUGCGUGGAAUAGGCAUUCCUAUGGAAAUGGUUUCCUCUACAACUCUGUUAGAUGCAGGAACUCGACAGCACCUGUCGGCGUUUCCUGCGGCGACGCCGACACGACAACAUGCCAAAUACAACCAAUGCAUAUGUAAUGUUUUUUAUGCAACAGCCAUUCAGUGGAAGCGACAGUCCCUCCUCUCUCACUGCAACCAACAGGUACAAGGUUAGCUUCUUUUAUAACAUUGCUUUCGAGAUGUUAACAUAAUGUAUAUAACAGAGAAAUGUGAAUAUGUAUUUGUUCAGAAUCAACACACACAAAAAAAAAAAGUAGUGCUCCGAGUUUGUGGUAAAUAACUACUCGCCUCCGUCAUGUUUUUAUUUUAUGUUUUUGAUUUUCUACUUUUUUAUUUUUCUGAUGAUGUGUGUAUGUAUAUGACUAUCAGUGAGUGCGUAUGUAUGUGUGAUUAAUACUGUAUAUCUGGUGUUCUCUAAGAUGGAAAAGUGGAAGAUGUCCUGGUUUGAUUCUUUUCUUCUUUGACUCUUUAGACCCUGCACAGUACCUGUGGGCGUUUCAGAAAACUAUGCCAGAGAAUGGUUUAGCGACUGCUGAAUGUGAUUUUACUGAGAGAGAAGCAGUGUGGACUGGCUUUUUUUUGUACGGGUUAAUUUAAAAAAAAAAUGAAAAACACAGAAAAAAUGGCCAUAUUAUUUAAUUUUUCUCUGUUGUCAAAAGUUUAAGCAGAUCUGGGAGAGUGGAGCCUUGGUUUUGUUGGAGGGGCAUCGCCUGCCGGGCUUUUUUUAUUUUUAAAUUUUGUUUUCUAAGUGUCUGACUGAUGUAGCCUUGUUUUUGCAUUUCGUCAAUAGUUCAAUGACCAAAGCUUAAAGAUGUCGGAUGGAUUUCAGAUGCAAACCUCAUCACUGGACGGGACAUAAUGUAGCGGCCCUGCGUUCAUUUGGAUUUCCUCUCCUCUCUUUCCUCGCUUCGUUCGCCCGCCACACGCUCCCGGCCUCUAACGCGCGACACGCCCCCCAGUUCGGUCCGUUUAGAGGCGUCUCCCGCUUUGCCAAUGAGGUCUUUUUUCAGCCUGAAGUGCUAUCAAUUCGUUUACAGGUAGAAGGAAAACAUUGUUAGCUAUGCACCUUACAGCCGAUACAAGCAUUUCCUCACAUUGACGCAUGUAGAACCAACACUGGAGCGAAACCCCCCGAGUCAUUGAUUUCAUAGGCAACGAGUUUAUAGUUAACGUCACACACACACACACACACACACACGCCACGACCCCCCCUCGAGUGACUUCAGUCGACGUCCGACGACCUCUCAGCUUCUAACGCUUCUUUUUUUCCAUUCACUAAAUACUUUAUACCAAACUUGAGGUGCCUCGUGUAUAUAGUUUCUGCAGUGAAGGUUGCUCCUUCGCUGUUUAACAGUGAUGACCUUGUUAACCAGGGUUUUUUUAAAACCUUUUUUCACCUUUAUAAAAAAGAAGUUUACUGUAUUUUAAAUGACUUUUUUACUCACAUAGAAGAUUAAUCAAAUUAUUCCAGGAAUUUGCAAAUACAAUCUAAUUUUGCACUUUAUGUCGGAUUUACUUGGGAGUGAAAAGGCCGUCGCAAGCUUUCUCAAUCAGAUCAGUAAGAGUAACGUCCCCUGAAUGUACCAAGAAAAUGUACGUUUCAUUAGUUUGAUUUGAAAAUCGCUCAGGUUCUCGACGAAGAACUCGACAGUGGGAGAUACCCAUCAUCCAGAUGACGACUAAAAAUUGUAAACACACUUUACCUUCUUUGUAAUGUAGAUCUCUCUCUGUCUCUCUCUUUCUCUGUCGACACCAACCGAUCCUCAGUAUAACUACUAUGCCAGUCUUCUUCUUCAGGUGGCGUCCCCGCCCUCCGCUCUGCGCCGUCAGCUGACGCCAGGCGAUCUGUUAAAAAAAAACCUCCUCUUGCUUGAAUCUCAGAACAUUCCUGCUCACGACACAGUUUCAGCAACACGCUCGGCGUUUCCUCUCCCGCAGCUUCGGACGUGUUAUUAGUAAAAAGUCAAAAGUCUGUUUGUGCGACACUUUGCAACAAUUGUGCACUGUUGACAUAACCGACAACACUUACACCGUGUUGUUUGUCUCCUCUGUUUGCUUCUCUUGUCACACUUGUGCUGCAUAAUGUAGAAUAUUUAGCAGUGAGCUGAUACCAGGACCGGCUAAUGCCUGGUGUAGGUGUAGGACUGGGCCAAUGCCUGGUGUAGGUGUAGGAUCGGCCUAAUGCCUGGUGUAGGUGUAGGACUGGGCUAAUGUCUGGUGUAGGGUUGGGCUAAUGUCUGGUGUAGGUGUAGGACUGGGCUAAUGCCUGGUGUAGGUGUAGGACUGGGCCAAUGCCUGGUCUAGCUAAUCAUUUUCGAUGUCAGCAAAGUUCAUAGCAAAACAAAAAGUGAAGGAGGAUACAGUUCUCAAUUGUCAAAAUGUCCGUAUUCUCACCUGUCAUUGGUCCAGCGUGGUGCUCGUGCUCGUGCUCGUGCACGGCUGAGACGCUCCACGGUCCCUUAAAUCUUAACUCCCACUCAUUCCUCGUGCAAACGUUCGAAUCUUUGCUCUCCGUGAACCCGCGGCUUCAGUUGUCACGUUUCGUCAGUGCUGCCUUAUCGGGACUGAGGUGGGAAAUGGUUCGGAGAGUUUACCAGAAGGCUUCUUCUUCUUCUUCUUAUUAGUAACUCACCACUUUGUGUUGUCCCGGGGGGGCGAUGCUUCCUCCGGAGAAUUUGAGAGAAAAAAAAAGACCAAGGUUCCACUUUCUCCCUUGUACAAAUUAAUAUAAAUAAAUAUAUAUAUAUAAAUAUAUAUGAUACAUUUUACCCAUUUUUGUCCAGUUUUGUAUAUUACACUCAUGUAAAGUUUGUUUUUAAUGAGGCAUCGGAGCAGCUAUUACAAGACAAUAUGAGUGACAUUGUUCAUCUGGGAGAAUUUUAUGCAUGUUAUAUUUUCUCUUUUUCUCUCUCUGUCUCUUUUAAUGCCCCCCAACCCCCUGUCAAGGUGUGUAACGUGAAUAUAAAGAAAUCUACCUUUUCUUUGGAAUGUUGUAGACAAUCAGUCUCAGGCCGGGUCCAGCCCCUGCAGGCAGUGAGAGCCCUGCAGGCUGAUCGACAAACAAAACGCUCUUUUUGUUUGUUUGACAAUUAAAAACUCUCUUUGCAUCUACUGGAAGUCUAAAUUUGGAGGUUUGUUCAUCCAUAUGUUCGUGGCUGCUCAAGUUUACACGCACACAGACACACACACACACACACUCACAGACACACACUUCUCGACUACACUCAAAAUACAAACACCUCGUGCAUUUGAUCCCCCUGCUUUCUUUUCCAAGGUGAGGAUGCCAACCUUGAGGAAAUGAUGCUUUGACUAACAAAUCUAUAACAUCUAUGAAUGUGGGAAUGCAACACAUUGCAAUAAAAGCACCAUUUGAAAUGCA
Hippoglossus stenolepis (Pacific halibut) is the source of this 5779-nucleotide long non-coding RNA. RefSeq lists it as uncharacterized. Lineage: Eukaryota; Metazoa; Chordata; Actinopteri; Pleuronectiformes; Pleuronectidae. The transcript is spliced from 2 exons. The record is from RefSeq and is a predicted model, not a curated record.